AAAGUCGUAACAAGGUUUCCGUAGGUGAACCUGCGGAAGGAUCAUUAAAUAACGGUUAACGUACAAGUCACUAGUCACUCACCUCACAGUUUGUGGCGAACUGAUCGUUUGUGCUGUCCGGAUGGCGCUUCGGUGUCAUCUGGGGGUGCAUGAAUGUACGUCAUACAUCAAAUCUAAUCCUGCGAUUAGAUUGUAUGAACCCUUUGCCUAUAUGUACCUCUUGUUGUUUCCUCGCCGCUCUCAGCGGCGACAGGAACCCCAUCAAACCUUUGUAUUUACAAGUAUUCAAACCUCAGAUAACCACAUAAAUUAUUACAACUUUUAACAAUGGAUCUCUUGGUUCUG
Molecule: unclassified non-coding RNA, 345 nt
Filed under: Ascomycota sp.
Lineage: Eukaryota; Fungi; Ascomycota
Description: partial contains small subunit ribosomal RNA, internal transcribed spacer 1, and 5.8S ribosomal RNA
Rfam family: Eukaryotic small subunit ribosomal RNA (bases 1-47)
Source: RNAcentral